AGGAUUAAAGUUUAAAUUAAACAUUUGAUUUGCAAUCAAAAAUUAUUGAUAUGAAAUUCAAUUUAUCUUA
This 70-nucleotide transfer RNA is filed under the name Paracymoriza prodigalis. RNAcentral's name for it is "tRNA-Ala". It matches the Rfam family "tRNA". From Rfam's summary of the family: Transfer RNA (tRNA) molecules are approximately 80 nucleotides in length. Lineage: Eukaryota; Metazoa; Arthropoda; Insecta; Lepidoptera; Crambidae. The record is from RNAcentral.